Molecule: ribosomal RNA, 497 nt
Filed under: uncultured bacterium
Lineage: Bacteria
Description: partial 16S ribosomal RNA
Rfam family: Bacterial small subunit ribosomal RNA
Source: RNAcentral
GAUGAACGCUGGCGGCGUGCCUAAUACAUGCAAGUCGAGCGAACAGACGAGGAGCUUGCUCCUCUGACGUUAGCGGCGGACGGGUGAGUAACACGUGGAUAACCUACCUAUAAGACUGGGAUAACUUCGGGAAACCGGAGCUAAUACCGGAUAAUAUAUUGAACCGCAUGGUUCAAUAGUGAAAGACGGUUUUGCUGUCACUUAUAGAUGGAUCCGCGCCGCAUUAGCUAGUUGGUAAGGUAACGGCUUACCAAGGCGACGAUGCGUAGCCGACCGGAGAGGGUGAUCGGCCACACUGGAACUGAGACACGGUCCAGACUCCUACGGGAGGCAGCAGUAGGGAAUCUUCCGCAAUGGGCGAAAGCUUGACGGAGCAACGCCGCGUGAGUGAUGAAGGUCUUCGGAUCGUAAAACUCUGUUAUUAGGGAAGAACAAAUGUGUAAGUAACUAUGCACGUAUUGACGGUACCUAAUCAGAAAGCCACGGCUAACUACGUG